Molecule: ribosomal RNA, 426 nt
Filed under: uncultured delta proteobacterium
Lineage: Bacteria; Deltaproteobacteria
Description: bacterial SSU rRNA
Rfam family: Bacterial small subunit ribosomal RNA
Source: RNAcentral
UAGGCAAUCUACCCCCGGGACCGGGAUAACAGUGCGAAAGUGCUGCUAAUACCGGAUACGAUUUUUUGGCGGGAGCUAAAAGGUGAAAGUCGGCCUCUUGAAAAAGCCGAUGUUCGGGGAUGAGCCUGCGUCCUAUCAGCUAGUUGGUAGGGUAACGGCCUACCAAGGCGACGACGGGUAGCUGGUCUGAGAGGAUGAUCAGCCACACUGGCACUGAAACACGGGCCAGACUCCUACGGGAGGCAGCAGUGAGGAAUUUUGCGCAAUGGGAGCAAUCCUGACGCAGCAACGCCGCGUGGGUGAUGAAGGCCUUCGGGUCGUAAAGCCCUGUCAGGUGGGAAGAAUGGCUACAGGGCGAAUAGUUUUGUAGCGUGACGGUACCACCAGAGGAAGCACCGGCUAACUCCGUGCCAGCAGCCGCGGUAA